GGCGUCACAAUUUCCGCCUUCACGGCAGUACAAGAAAAGGUACCAGCGAAGCGUGGCUACCUGUCUCACGCCAACUCUCCCCGAUUUAAUUGCGUGAUGGAAAAGUAUCUGGGUGGACAACAGGCCAAGAAAAAAAAACAUUUUCCCCAUUAAAAAGACAAAAAAAAAGUCAAAACCUACAAGUGGUGGACUGAUGAAAGAACUAUUGAGACUUGAAGCUAAAAAUAUGACUUGCAAGAAAGUAACUGACCUCAUCUACAAGUAAAGAACUCCUCAGCAAGCCGCUUCCCCGCUGCUAAGAAUUCUGGGAACCAGGACACGAAUGGCGAAUACUGCUGUGAGGCAUGAAAACAUCCAAAUGGUUGAGUGCAUUCUCUUUAAGUCACUUGUCUCUCUUUCAUGAGCUUGUUUUUCUUUUCUUUUUUCCUGCUCCAAAUAAUUUCCACAUGAUGUGGCGAGGGCGCGGUAUUUAUUGCCUACUGUUAAAUGUCUGCAAAUAAUUUCUUCUCAAAUGCCUGCAAAUAUUUUUUUUCCCCCUUGAAGUGAAUGCAACGGGGCUAUUGACGUGGGCCACGUCUGUGCGAAUAGUGCAUUCGCACAGACGUGGCCCACAUGCGUGUCUUUCCAGGUCAAGCACCGGAGAAAGGUCAUAUUAUGUGACUGGGAGCACACUAAGGGGCGACGUUGCCCCUCCUCCUCUCUCAACUAACAAAAUGUGGCCUGUUUGCCAUCUGUAUUUGGAAAAGCUAAUAUGACUGUGUUUAGUCAAAAUCGAUUAGAGUUGAAAAACGUUACUUGUUGCCAAAUAUUUCUUUAGAAAUAGGAUGACAAUAUGAAAAUCAUUUUAAAAUAGACUUAUUUUAACCCUCUCAACUGUUCCCGUCUGGGUUUUUCUUGGAUUUUGCAAUUUUCUAUAUGGUCAAAUUCAGGUCUCGUGUUUUUGAUUGUGUUUUUCUUCCUGAAAUUUCGAGAUGUGACGGGGGCGUUGCCGACCAUUUACACAGCUAUGGAAGUUUAUCUGUGCCAUCGGAUUUUGAAUUCGAAUUUGUAGCACUGAAUUUUUUUACAUCCAAUUUUUAACACUGAAUUUUUUUUUGCAUCUAAAUCAGACUUUGAAUUUUUAAAGCCAUCGAAUUUCUAGCACUGAAUUU
Syngnathus typhle (broad-nosed pipefish) is the source of this 1151-nucleotide long non-coding RNA. RefSeq lists it as uncharacterized. The transcript has 4 exons. The record is from RefSeq and is a predicted model, not a curated record. NCBI's taxonomy places the organism in Eukaryota, Metazoa, Chordata, Actinopteri, Syngnathiformes, Syngnathidae.